This 214-nucleotide unclassified non-coding RNA is filed under the name plant metagenome. Its description in RNAcentral is "partial contains small subunit ribosomal RNA, internal transcribed spacer 1, and 5.8S ribosomal RNA". The stretch from base 166 to 214 matches the Rfam family "5.8S ribosomal RNA", at positions 1 to 49 of the family's 154-position model. The record is from RNAcentral.
UUUCCGUAGGUGAACCUGCGGAAGGAUCAUUACAGAGUUCAUGCCCGAAAGGGUAGACCUCCCACCCUGGUGUAUUAUUACUUGGUUGCUUUGGCGAGCGCAAGCUGGCCAGAGAAUACAAAAACUCUUUUUAUUAAUGUCGUCUGUGUACUAUAUAAUAGUUAAAACUUUCAACAACGGAUCUCUUGGUUCUGGCCUCGAUGAAGAACGCAGC